GACGAACGCUGGCGGCGUGCCUAAUACAUGCAAGUAGAACGCUGAAGAGAGGAGCUUACUCUUCUUGGAUGAGUUGCGAACGGGUGAGUAACGCGUAGGUAACCUGCCUUGUAGCGGGGGAUAACUAUUGGAAACGAUAGCUAAUACCGCAUAACAAUGGAUGACACAUGUCAUUUAUUUGAAAGGGGCAAUUGCUCCACUACAAGAUGGACCUGCGUUGUAUUAGCUAGUAGGUGAGGUAAUGGCUCACCUAGGCGACGAUACAUAGCCGACCUGAGAGGGUGAUCAGCCACACUGGGACUGAGACACGGCCCAGACUCCUACGGGAGGCAGCAGUAGGGAAUCUUCGGCAAUGGGGGCAACCCUGACCGAGCAACGCCGCGUGAGUGAAGAAGGUUUUCGGAUCGUAAAGCUCUGUUGUAAGUCAAGAACGGGUGUGAGAGUGGAAAGUUCACACUGUGACGGUAGCUUACCAGAAAGGGACGGCUAACUACGUG
This 497-nucleotide ribosomal RNA is filed under the name uncultured bacterium. RNAcentral describes it as "partial 16S ribosomal RNA". It matches the Rfam family "Bacterial small subunit ribosomal RNA", at positions 28 to 507 of the family's 1533-position model. The record is from RNAcentral.